UCGAGCGAAGCGCUUUAACGGAAUUCUUCGGAAGGAAGAUAAAGCGACUGAGCGGCGGACGGGUGAGUAACGCGUGGGUAACCUGCCUCAUACAGGGGGAUAACAGUUAGAAAUGGCUGCUAAUACCGCAUAAGCGCACAGGACCGCAUGGUCUGGUGUGAAAAACUCCGGUGGUAUGGGAUGGACCUGCGUUGGAUUAGCUGGUUGGUGGGGUAACGGCCUACCAAGGCGACGAUCCAUAGCCGGCCUGAGAGGGUGGACGGCCACAUUGGGACUGAGACACGGCCCAGACUCCUACGGGAGGCAGCAGUAGGGAAUAUUGCACAAUGGGGGAAACCCUGAUGCAGCGACGCCGCGUGAAGGAAGAAGUAUCUCGGUAUGUAAACUUCUAUCAGCAGGGAAGACAAUGACGGUACCUGACUAAGAAGCCCCGGCUAACUACGUGCCAGCAGCCGCGGUAAUACGUAGGGGGCAAGCGUUAUCCGGAUUUACUGGGUGUAAAGGGAGCGUAGACGGACGGGCAAGUCUGAAGUGAAAGGCAGGGGCUCAACCCCUGGACUGCUUUGGAAACUGUCCAUCUAGAGUGCCGGAGAGGUAAGCGGAAUUCCUAGUGUAGCGGUGAAAUGCGUAGAUAUUAGGAGGAACACCAGUGGCGAAGGCGGCUUACUGGACGGUAACUGACGUUGAGGCUCGAAAGCGUGGGGAGCAAACAGG
RNAcentral lists this ribosomal RNA (714 nucleotides) under uncultured Lachnospiraceae bacterium. Its description in RNAcentral is "bacterial SSU rRNA". It matches the Rfam family "Bacterial small subunit ribosomal RNA", at positions 62 to 776 of the family's 1533-position model. The record is from RNAcentral. Lineage: Bacteria; Bacillati; Bacillota; Clostridia; Lachnospirales; Lachnospiraceae.